AUGUAUAUAAACUCUUUUAUUUUUAAUUAAUUCGUUUGUUUUAACAUAAUUUACACAUAGAUGUUAAGGCUAGAUCUAAAUUAUUUGUCAUUACCUUUUAAAGGGGUAAACAAAAUUGACUUUUUUUUCAACAAAAGGCAAAAAAAAAUUAAUAAUAUUAAUAUAGUAGAGCAAAAUAUAUUAACUCUCGAAUAGGGUUUUUUUUCACUUUGAGAGAGUCGCCUCCAACAUCAACUUGGUCUACCUCUCGGCUGUGGAUGUCGGCGCUGGCUUCUGCUGUGCGUGCGGAAGUCCCUAGCCAAGAAAGGAUCUUCACUCUUGAUCUUGAUGAUGGUGCGAUAUGGGGGAAAGGAGGGAGGAUAUGGGCUGCACUGCUUUUGGGAGUGCUAGUGGCUUCACUCCAGCAUGGACAAAGUCGGAUUCAUGUUACGGGGAUGCACUGCCUCGUCAUGCUCACUCUUGUGGAUUUGAAGAGGGGUCUUGCCCCCACUGCUCCUUCCUCUUGCUAUCUCAAUGUUGUCUUUCUUUUAUUUUGUGUCAUUUCUAUAAUAAAGGGGCUUCAAAGAUUCUCUCGUCAGUUUUCUAGAUUUGGGGGAUUCCAAGAUCUAUAUAGACCCAUGUUACAUGGUACCCCAAUCUCUAGUGUCGGGACACCUGAGCAUGAUUGAUCGUUUGUUUGUGUCCUUUAUUUCUUAUUUGAAUAAGGGAAUCGUUAUUUCCCCCUUCUUUUGGAAGUUUAUUGGGUGAUAGUUAUUAAUGGAGUUGAUCUAUGUUGAUCUGUCAUUUGCAGAAAAUAUAGAUUACUUCGCACUUUUAAUGAUUGAAUGUUGGUGUUAUAUUAGAUCCUUAGAUGAAGUUUUUGUUAUUAAUGCUAUGGACUAUAUUCAAUUGACUUAUUAUUAAUAUAUAUUUUAUUUA
Molecule: long non-coding RNA, 918 nt
Organism: Humulus lupulus (European hop)
Lineage: Eukaryota; Viridiplantae; Streptophyta; Magnoliopsida; Rosales; Cannabaceae
Exons: 2
Source: RefSeq, a predicted model, not a curated record